Molecule: ribosomal RNA, 379 nt
Filed under: uncultured Glomus
Lineage: Eukaryota; Fungi; Glomeromycota; Glomeromycetes; Glomerales; Glomeraceae
Description: SSU rRNA
Rfam family: Eukaryotic small subunit ribosomal RNA
Source: RNAcentral
AGCAGCCGCGGUAAUUCCAGCUCCAAUAGCGUAUAUUAAAGUUGUUGCAGUUAAAAGGCUCGUAGUUGAAUUUCGGGAUCAAGGAAUCGGUCAUGCCUCGGUAUGUACUGGUUUUAUUGGUUCUCACCUUCUAAAGAACCAUGAUGUCAUUCAUUUGAUGUUAUGGGGAAUUAGGACUGUUACCUUGAAAAAAUUAGAGUGUUUAAAGCAGGCUUACGCUUGAAUACAUUAGCAUGGAAUAAUGAAAUAGGACAUCAGAUUCUAUUUUGUUGGUUUCUAGGAUCGAUGUAAUGAUUAAUAGGGAUAGUUGGGGGCAUUAGUAUUCAAUUGUCAGAGGUGAAAUUCUUGGAUUUAUUGAAGACUAACUACUGCGAAAGCA